RNAcentral lists this ribosomal RNA (443 nucleotides) under uncultured bacterium. RNAcentral describes it as "partial 16S ribosomal RNA". It matches the Rfam family "Bacterial small subunit ribosomal RNA", at positions 338 to 795 of the family's 1533-position model. The record is from RNAcentral.
CCUACGGGAGGCAGCAGUGGGGAAUAUUGGGCAAUGGGCGAAAGCCUGAACCAGCAACGCCGCGUGAAGGAAGAAGGCUCUAGGGUUGUUAAAUUCUUUUUAUAGGGACGAAGCAAGUAACGGUACCUGAGGAAUAAGCCACGGCUAACUACGUGCCAGCAGCCGCGGUAAUACGUCGGUGGCAAGAGUUAUCCGGAUUUAAUGGGUGUAAAGGGCGCGUAGGCGGGAAGGCAAGUCAGAUGUGAAAACCAUGGGCUCAACCUGAGGCCUGCAGUUGAUACUGUUUGUCUUGAGUACAGGAGAGGCAGGCGGAAUUCGUGGUGUAGCGGUGAAAUGCUUAGAUAUUAGGAAGAACACCAGUGGCGAAGGCAGCCUGCUGGACAGCAACUGACGCUGAGGCUCGAAAGUGUGGGGAGCAAACAGGAUUAGAUACCCGGGUAGUC